Lindgomyces ingoldianus is the source of this 91-nucleotide non-coding RNA. NCBI's taxonomy places the organism in Eukaryota, Fungi, Ascomycota, Dothideomycetes, Pleosporales, Lindgomycetaceae. The record is from the annotation of a RefSeq genome assembly.
UCUUCCUUGGUCUAGUGGUCAUGAUUUCCGCUUGUCAACCCAAUAAUGGGAACGAGCGCGGGAGACCGGGGUUCGAUUCCCCGAGGGAGAG